This 253-nucleotide ribosomal RNA is filed under the name uncultured bacterium. RNAcentral's name for it is "partial 16S ribosomal RNA". It matches the Rfam family "Bacterial small subunit ribosomal RNA", at positions 524 to 776 of the family's 1533-position model. The record is from RNAcentral.
GACGUAGGAUGCAAGCGUUGUUCGGAUUUAUUGGGCGUAAAGCGUACGUAGGCGGUUCGGCAAGUGGGAGGUUAAAGACUGGGGCUCAACCCCAGGAGUGCCCCCCAAACUGCUGAACUAGAGGUUCAUAGGGGAAGGUGGAAUUCCGAGUGUAGCGGUGAAAUGCGUAGAUAUUCGGAGGAACGCCAGUGGCGAAAGCGACCUUCUGGGUGACACCUGACGCUGAGGUACGAAAGCAUGGGGAGCAAACGGG